AUGAACGCUAGCGAUAGGCCUAACACAUGCAAGUCGAGGGGCAUCACAAAGAGUAGCAAUACUUUUGGUGGCGACCGGCGGAUGGGUGAGUAACACGUAUGCAACCUACCUUCUACAUUGGGAUAACCCGUUGAAAGACGGACUAAUACCGAAUAAUACAGGGGCGCCACAUGGUGAUAUUUGUUAAAGUUUCGAGCAAUCGAUUCGGUAGAAGAUGGGCAUGCGUAUGAUUAGCUAGUUGGUGAGGUAACGGCUCACCAAGGCAACGAUCAUUAGGGGUUCUGAGAGGAAGGUCCCCCACACUGGUACUGAGACACGGACCAGACUCCUACGGGAGGCAGCAGUGAGGAAUAUUGGUCAAUGGGCGCGAGCCUGAACCAGCCAAGUCGCGUGAAGGAAGACUGUCCUAUGGAUUGUAAACUGCUUUUGCACAGGAAGAAACAACGCUACGUGUAGCGUCUUGACGGUACUGUGAGAAUAAGGAUCGGCUAACUCCGUG
Molecule: ribosomal RNA, 499 nt
Filed under: uncultured bacterium
Lineage: Bacteria
Description: bacterial SSU rRNA
Rfam family: Bacterial small subunit ribosomal RNA
Source: RNAcentral